CCUACGGGGGGCAGCAGUGAGGAAUAUUGGUCAAUGGACGCAAGUCUGAACCAGCCAUGCCGCGUGCAGGAAGACGGCUCUAUGAGUUGUAAACUGCUUUUGUACGAGGGUAAACGCAGAUACGCGUCUCUGUCUGAAAGUAUCGUACGAAUAAGGAUCGGCUAACUCCGUGCCAGCAGCCGCGGUAAUACGGAGGAUUCAAGCGUUAUCCGGAUUUAUUGGGUUUAAAGGGUGCGCAGGCGGUCGGAUAAGUUAGAGGUGAAAUCCCGAGGCUCAACUUCGGAAUUGCCUCUGAAACUGUUCGGCGAGAGAGUAGUUGAGGUAGGCGGAAUGUAUGGUGUAGCGGUGAAAUGCUUAGAGAUCAUACAGAACACCGAUUGCGAAGGCAGCUUACCAAGCUACUUCUGACGUUGAGGCACGAAAGCGUGGGGAGCAAACAGGAUUAGAUACCCUGGUAGUC
RNAcentral lists this ribosomal RNA (460 nucleotides) under uncultured bacterium. RNAcentral's name for it is "partial 16S ribosomal RNA". It matches the Rfam family "Bacterial small subunit ribosomal RNA", at positions 338 to 795 of the family's 1533-position model. The record is from RNAcentral.